This 73-nucleotide transfer RNA is filed under the name Stegodyphus dumicola. Its description in RNAcentral is "tRNA-Thr". It matches the Rfam family "tRNA". Rfam says of the family: Transfer RNA (tRNA) molecules are approximately 80 nucleotides in length. The record is from RNAcentral. Lineage: Eukaryota; Metazoa; Arthropoda; Arachnida; Araneae; Eresidae.
GCCUUCGUGGUGUAGUUGUCAGCACGCUCGACGUGUAUUCGAGAGGUCCGUGGUUCGAGUCCCGGCGAGGGCA